This is a long non-coding RNA of Felis catus (domestic cat), 212 nucleotides long. RefSeq lists it as uncharacterized. Lineage: Eukaryota; Metazoa; Chordata; Mammalia; Carnivora; Felidae. The transcript has 2 exons. The record is from RefSeq and is a predicted model, not a curated record.
CCGGGGAAAGCAGAUGUGUGUUCAUUUGCACUCCCUGCGCGGCUCCCCACUCCCAUCGCUCCCUGGGAUGCUCAGAUGCCUGUCUUCGCGCGAAGACACCGGUUCGUGCACGUUCGGUCGCCGAACGGUGACGUUUUGGAGAGAACAGUCAGGUGAGCAGGGGCAUCUGGAGAUGCUCGCGCCCCCCACCCCCACCCCACCGAGAACAACAA